This 520-nucleotide long non-coding RNA is filed under the name Bos taurus (domestic cattle). Its description in RNAcentral is "long non-coding RNA NONBTAT022626". Lineage: Eukaryota; Metazoa; Chordata; Mammalia; Artiodactyla; Bovidae. The record is from RNAcentral.
UGUUUUCCUUGAGCCCUUGUCAAUAUGUCUUCGUGUUAACAGCUUAGCAGAUGGAGAAACAGAAGGAGUAGCCUCAGCUUACCUGAAUGAUUUCUCUCCGGCACCCGGCACAUGACUGUCUCUACUAACUUGAUGAUAGGAACUGGAGUAAUUGGAAGAUAAGAAAUGAUGCCUGACUUUUGCAGUGUUGUUUACCAAAACUGUUGGCAGCUUUUUUAUGUUACUGUUAGAUCCUUUUUCCCAGUCUCAUACCAAGAGAAGACAGAAGUAUAGCAACCUACCUGGUUCGCACUGUGCCUACUUAGAUAAUGAAAGUAAAAUAAUAAUAACUAAUAUCGCUUUGGGCGUAAAUUAGCAUAUUCCCAGGUGGUUCCAGGGUAAUCACCGUGGUUUAGCAGGAGCAAUAGCUUUCUGCAACAGAAAAUGUGGGAGCCUGGGAUACUGCUUUGUGUAAUAGCAUUGUUCUUUUUACAUGGGGCUUAUUAUUAUUUAAUGGGCUGACUGCUUUUUACUUAAGUAU